CCUACGGGCGGCAGCAGUGAGGAAUAUUGGUCAAUGGACGAGAGUCUGAACCAGCCAAGUAGCGUGAAGGAUGACUGCCCUAUGGGUUGUAAACUUCUUUUAUAUGGGAAUAACAUGUUCCACGUGUGGGAUUUUGUAUGUACCAUAUGAAUAAGGAUCGGCUAACUCCGUGCCAGCAGCCGCGGUAAUACGGAGGAUCCGAGCGUUAUCCGGAUUUAUUGGGUUUAAAGGGAGCGUAGGUGGAUUGUUAAGUCAGUUGUGAAAGGUUGCGGCUCAACCGUAAAAUUGCAGUUGAAACUGGCAGUCUUGAGUACAGUAGAGGUGGGCGGAAUGCGUGGUGUAGCGGUGAAAUGCUUAGAUAUCACGAAGAACUCCGAUUGCGAAGGCAGCUCACUGGACUGCAACUGACACUGAGGCUCGAAAGUGUGGGUAUCAAACAGGAUUAGAUACCCUGGUAGUC
RNAcentral lists this ribosomal RNA (460 nucleotides) under uncultured bacterium. RNAcentral's name for it is "partial 16S ribosomal RNA". It matches the Rfam family "Bacterial small subunit ribosomal RNA", at positions 338 to 795 of the family's 1533-position model. The record is from RNAcentral.